RNA transcript from Olea europaea var. sylvestris, 1222 nucleotides. It is a transcript of the gene named F-box protein At1g55000, with no coding region annotated. The record is from RefSeq and is a predicted model, not a curated record. Lineage: Eukaryota; Viridiplantae; Streptophyta; Magnoliopsida; Lamiales; Oleaceae. The transcript is spliced from 3 exons.
UGGACAACUCGGCUAUCUCACCGAAUUCCCCAGGGAAAAUGGGCUGCUGCUGCUGCGAGGAGGUAGAAGACUACGAAGCAGUUGCCCCACCGGACCUCCGCCGGCCCCUCAAUCCCGGCCACCACCACGGGCCCGAAGCUCAACCGUCUACCGAUCUAGUUAUCUCACCAAUGAAUUCUAACUUCUCGGCUCUAUUAUGCAAGGACACUCUCCGCGCCAUAUUGGAGAAACUGUCACUCGCCGACCUGGCCCGUUCGGCUUGCGUUUGCAAGCUCUGGUACUCCGUGGCCGCUGAUAGGGAUAUGCAGAUCAAGGCUUUUAUUUCCCCCUGGAAACUCCGGGAUGUUGUUGGAAACCCUACCUCGGCUGGCUUCUGGAGAGACAAUUCGCUUUCCAAAUUUGCCAUUUCGCAUCGCCUGUCGCGUGGGGACUCAGUCGCCAGCCUCGCUGUCAAAUAUUCCGUUCAGGUUAUGGAUAUAAAACGCUUAAAUAACAUGAUGAGUGAGCAUGGGAUAUACUCGAGGGAGAGGCUGCUGAUUCCGGUGAGGCAACCAGAUAUCCUCAUUAAUUCAGUAUGCUACAUAGAGCUUGAUAUCCAUGCAAAGAGGGAAGUUGCUGUACUGUAUCUUGAAGGUGGUCCUGAAAGAAAUCUCAACGCUCUUUUGAAUAGGCUGACCAUUGAACGGGCCAAAAGAAAGGUGAUUGACUCCUUGAAGAGGAGCAUGCACUUUGAUGAUGGAACUGCACAGUACUACUUGUCUAUCUCAGACGGUGAUCCUCGAGCUGCGCUGACACAAUUUUCCGAAGAUCUGAGUUGGGAGAGGCAGGUGCGGCAGGCUUAAGUUGAUGCCACAAUUCGAUAUGCUUGGAAUUCACAAGAACCAGUUGACUAUGGACGCGUUUUGGCCCCUUAUCCUGCCAAAUUUAUGUGGAUGGAACUUGCUCAGUAUUGGGAAGGCAGCAUCAUGAAGACAUCCUCCACCUAGCAUAUGCUUAUGCUAUGCUAUUCGAGGAGUGUAAAUAGUGGGUUAAACUGCUUGCACAGGCCCCUGCCCCCAAUAGGGGGGCUGCCACGCAGGGGCCUGUCCCCAUGGUGUAACACGUAAAUGAUACAUGCAACCUCUUUGGAAGCUUACUCGUCUUUCACGGUUAUUAGAUAUGACCAAAAGAGAGUAAAAUUGGAAUAUUUUUACUUUCAAGGAAACAUUUUAGUUUUAUUUGA